Molecule: non-coding RNA, 63 nt
Submitted as: unclassified sequences
Source: Rfam
UCGGGAAACACACGGCCGCAACUCCGACGCGUCGGCGCUGCCGACUUGGGAUUGCGGAUGUGU